UUUGAUUUAAGUUUAUUAUUAUUAUUAUUUAAAUAAAAAAUUUUUUAGUUUAAGUAUAAUUAGAAAAAAUUAAUUUUGUUAUAGUUUAUUAGUAUAGUGAUAGAAAUAUAUUUAAAAAUUUAAAAGAAGAAUUUUUUUUGUACCUUGUGUAUCAGGGUUUAUUAAUUAAAUAUUAAGAAUUUAAUUUUCUCGAUUUUAAAAGAGUUAAUAUUUUAUAAAUUUUAAUGUAAAAUAAUUAUUUUUAAUAAAAUAUUAGUAAUGAAACGUUAUUCGUUUUUAAAUAUAUCUGGUUUUUAAAGAAAUUAAUUUAAUUAAUUUUAUAUAAAAAUAAUUUUUUUUAAUAAAAAAUAUUUUUUAUAUAAAUAAUAUUAUUGGGGAUAAGCUUAGUAAUAAAUUUUUAAAAAUUUAUAAUUAUUUUAAAAAAUAUAAGAUUAGAAGUUUUUAUUUUAUAAUGUAUUAUAACUAAUUUUUUAUAAUUAAUGAUUUUUAUAAAUUUUAAGUUUUUUAUUUAAAUAUUUAAUUUAAUAAAAUAAUUAAAGUAAUAAUGAUAAAAUUAGUAUAUUAAUUUUUAAAGUUAAUUAAAAAUUUAAAAUUAAAUAAAGGAAUUCGGCAAAUAUAUUUUUCGCCUGUUUAUUAAAAACAUGUCUUUUUGAUUAUAAUUUAAAGUCUGACCUGCCCAAUGAUAAAUUAAAUGGCCGCAGUAUUUUGACUGUGCAAAGGUAGCAUAAUAAUUAGUUUUUUAAUUGAAAGCUGGAAUGAAUGGUUGAACGAGAAAAUUUCUGUCUCUAUUUAAUUAAUAUAAUUUUAUUUUUAAGUUAAAAAGCUUAAAUUUAUUUAAAAGACGAGAAGACCCUAUAGAGUUUUAUAUAAAAUUUAUUUUUAAUAAUUUAGAAAUUUUAAAUUAGAAUUAAAUUUUAUAUUUUGUUGGGGUGAUGAAAAAAUUUAAAAAACUUUUUAUUUAAUUAAACAUUUAUUUAUGAUUAUUUGAUCCAUAAUAAUGAUUAAAAGAUUAAAUUACCUUAGGGAUAACAGCGUAAUUUUUUUUGAGAGUUCAUAUCGAAAAAAAAGAUUGCGACCUCGAUGUUGGAUUAAAAUUUAUUUUUGGUGUAGAAGCUAAAAAAUUAGGUCUGUUCGACCUUUAAAAUUUUACAUGAUCUGAGUUUAAACCGGUGUGAGCCAGGUUGGUUUCUAUCUUUAAAAUAUUAAAAUAUUUUAGUACGAAAGGACCAAAUAUUUAUAAAAUUUAUUUAUUUUUGAAUAAUAUUGUUAU
Molecule: ribosomal RNA, 1270 nt
Filed under: Staphylinidae sp. BMNH 1274207
Lineage: Eukaryota; Metazoa; Arthropoda; Insecta; Coleoptera; Staphylinidae
Description: large subunit ribosomal RNA
Rfam family: Archaeal large subunit ribosomal RNA (bases 1025-1183)
Source: RNAcentral